UACGUAGGGUGCGAGCGUUGUCCGGAAUUAUUGGGCGUAAAGAGCUUGUAGGCGGUUUGUCGCGUCUGCCGUGAAAAUUCGAGGCUCAACCUCGAACUUGCGGUGGGUACGGGCAGACUAGAGUGUGGUAGGGGGAGACUGGAAUUCCUGGUGUAGCGGUGAAAAUGCGCAGAUAUCAGGAGGAACACCGAUGGCGAAGGCAGGUCUCUGGGCCACUACUGACGCUGAGGAGCGAAAAGCGUGGGGGAGCGAAACAGG
This 258-nucleotide ribosomal RNA is filed under the name uncultured bacterium. RNAcentral's name for it is "partial 16S ribosomal RNA". It matches the Rfam family "Bacterial small subunit ribosomal RNA", at positions 524 to 776 of the family's 1533-position model. The record is from RNAcentral.